Molecule: ribosomal RNA, 1010 nt
Filed under: uncultured bacterium
Lineage: Bacteria
Description: bacterial SSU rRNA
Rfam family: Bacterial small subunit ribosomal RNA
Source: RNAcentral
GGGGAAUAUUGCACAAUGGGCGCAAGCCUGAUGCAGCGACGCCGCGUGAGGGAUGGAGGCCUUCGGGUUGUAAACCUCUUUUAUCGGGGAGCAAGCGAGAGUGAGUUUACCCGUUGAAUAAGCACCGGCUAACUACGUGCCAGCAGCCGCGGUAAUACGUAGGGUGCAAGCGUUAUCCGGAAUUAUUGGGCGUAAAGGGCUCGUAGGCGGUUCGUCGCGUCCGGUGUGAAAGUCCAUCGCUUAACGGUGGAUCCGCGCCGGGUACGGGCGGGCUUGAGUGCGGUAGGGGAGACUGGAAUUCCCGGUGUAACGGUGGAAUGUAUAGAUAUCGGGAAGAACACCAAUGGCGAAGGCAGGUCUCUGGGCCGUUACUGACGCUGAGGAGCGAAAGCGUGGGGAGCGAACAGGAUUAGAUACCCUGGUAGUCCACGCCGUAAACGGUGGAUGCUGGAUGUGGGGCCCGUUCCACGGGUUCCGUGUCGGAGCUAACGCGUUAAGCAUCCCGCCUGGGGAGUACGGCCGCAAGGCUAAAACUCAAAGAAAUUGACGGGGGCCCGCACAAGCGGCGGAGCAUGCGGAUUAAUUCGAUGCAACGCGAAGAACCUUACCUGGGCUUGACAUGUUCCCGACGGUCGUAGAGAUACGGCUUCCCUUCGGGGCGGGUUCACAGGUGGUGCAUGGUCGUCGUCAGCUCGUGUCGUGAGAUGUUGGGUUAAGUCCCGCAACGAGCGCAACCCUCGCCCCGUGUUGCCAGCGGAUUAUGCCGGGAACUCACGGGGGACCGCCGGGGUUAACUCGGAGGAAGGUGGGGAUGACGUCAGAUCAUCAUGCCCCUUACGUCCAGGGCUUCACGCAUGCUACAAUGGCCGGUACAACGGGAUGCGACGCGGCGACGCGGAGCGGAUCCCUGAAAACCGGUCUCAGUUCGGAUCGCAGUCUGCAACUCGACUGCGUGAAGGCGGAGUCGCUAGUAAUCGCGAAUCAGCAACGUCGCGGUGAAUGCGUUCCCG